CGGCUGGCUCGCGCUGCGCCCUGCCGCCACGCGACGCGACGCGCUCUGUCCUCUGUCUGCAUCCACUGUGCGCCCGUCUCGUCCACUGUGCGCCCCGUGUGUGUUCGUGCGACGCCGUGCGCCGCUCCUCGCGAAACAUUUCUUCCUACCGACAGAACGUGCAAUCGAAUCGGCACUGCAACCCUUUAGUUCGAGCAGCAAAGUUAACUAAGCGAUUUUUCUUGUGUUCACGUUUCUACUUUGUGAAUGGGGGUCGAGCUCGUGUCUCCCGCUCACCGUUUGUGUCAGAUGCCAAUAUCGAAGUAGAAGUGACUGCCGCCGCAAAGUACCAACAAAACCAAUAACUCCCUUCAGCGAUGGAAAAGAAACAGGAGAAUCAAACGACGCGGGCUGCUGACGCCGUUCACAUUCGGUGAACAUUUUGGAAACAAUCGAACGACCUCUUUUCUUUCUGGUGCAUAGCUGGCAGUACCUGAAUGAGAGGAGGCACACGUCAGAGGUUGGUGUGGCGAGUGAAAGUGGUGCGCCAGCAGAAGGGGAGAGAAUAGACAGCCGUGUCGGUGCCAUACGUCGCCUUACAAGGAGAACGCUCUGACGGGCGGCCGUAAAACGGCGGCAGCUGCCACCGCUCCCGUUACAUGCCAUUCGUUCGGUGGCUGUCGCUGAUCGAACCAAAGUAUCCCACCUUCAGCAUCAGCACAGUUCUCAAUACACCACUGCCUACUCACAAAACUUGAAGAACUGCCAUAUGAUACUAGUUUGUAGCUUGUCAAACGCUACUUUCUAUAGGGGAGACCAGGGCUAGUUGUCAUAGAUUUUGAGUUCUGAUAUUUCAAUUUUUUGUUUUAUUUAUUUAUUUAUUUAUUUUUAUUUUUGUGCAAUUCUUGCAGAAAUUGUGGUGGAUGCAGCGCAUAGCUUGGCUUUUUGACUACACAAUACUAUAGGAAGAACAAAUUCUUCAAAAAGUAAAUUCAUUGUGAAGAAAAUAAUUUUGCUUCAACGCAGUAUGAACUUAAAUGUAUGAACAAACAGUGAAUUGAUCAAGAAAAACAUUUUUUCUGAUUAUUAUUAUAGGUACCAAUAGUUAUUCACACGUAAUUACGAGGGUUGCCCAUAAAGUAAUGCACCGCACUUUUUCCUCAGCCAGGAACAAUGCUACAAAUUCAAAACGUUACGUAUGUAUUGUCUGAAGUCUCCUGAGUGAGCGCGCCAAGCUUCCGUCACUUCCGACAGGUAGCGUAGCGGAUGAGCAGUUGCAAAAUGGCGUCUGUAGGUGAUGUAUGUUACAAGCAACGUGCCGUCAUUGAAUUUCUCGCUGCAGAGAAAGAAACUGUGGGGACCCACAGACUUCCACUUAUUUGGACCAUGAAAGGCUGCCACUCGUGGAAGACAUUUUGAGGACGAUGAGGAGGUGAUUCACACAGUGAAGCACUGGCUCCGCCACCAGGACAAGGACUCGUACCGGCAGGGCAUACACGUCCUUGUUUCGUGCUGGAGGAAGGCCAUAGAACGGGUUGGAGACUACGUAGAAAAGUAGAUUGUGUACAUUAGACACCAUUCUUUCGUGUGUGUAACAUUCAUUAUGUUCAAUAAAGAAAUGUUGAAGAAAAAAUGUCGUGCAUUAGCCCUACUUUCUGCGCAACCCUCGUAGUUCAAUUUUUUAACAAUCAGCCAUGAAUGUAGGUGUUGGGCAGUCGUUUAUCUCAUGGGUGGGUUAAAUUUUCCUUUCGUCGUACCAAAUUUAAUCAGCUUUAUGAGACAGACUGCAUCUGCAUAUACAUCAGCAAAGUCAUACGGUAACAUGCACUGCUGCCAGUUUGUUGGAUUGUAGCUCACUGAAG
This is a long non-coding RNA of Schistocerca serialis cubense, 1841 nucleotides long. RefSeq lists it as uncharacterized. NCBI's taxonomy places the organism in Eukaryota, Metazoa, Arthropoda, Insecta, Orthoptera, Acrididae. The record is from RefSeq and is a predicted model, not a curated record. The transcript is spliced from 4 exons.